AGAGUUUGAUUAUGGCUCAGAGCGAACGCUGGCGGCAGGCUUAACACAUGCAAGUCGAGCGGGCACUUUCGGGUGUCAGCGGCAGACGGGUGAGUAACACGUGGGAACGUACCCUUUGGUUCGGAAUAACGCUGGGAAACUAGCGCUAAUACCGGAUACGCCCUUUUGGGGAAAGGCUUGCUGCCGAAGGAUCGGCCCGCGUCUGGUUAGCUAGUUGGUGGGGUAAUGGCCUACCAAGGCGACGAUCAGUAGCUGGUCUGAGAGGAUGAUCAGCCACACUGGGACUGAGACACGGCCCAGACUCCUACGGGAGGCAGCAGUGGGGAAUAUUGGACAAUGGGCGCAAGCCUGAUCCAGCCAUGCCGCGUGAGUGAUGAAGGCCUUAGGGUUGUAAAGCUCUUUUGUCCGGGACGAUAAUGACGUUACCGGAAGAAUAAGCCCCGGCUAACUUCGUGCCAGCAGCCGCGGUAAU
This 472-nucleotide ribosomal RNA is filed under the name uncultured Alphaproteobacteria bacterium. RNAcentral's name for it is "bacterial SSU rRNA". It matches the Rfam family "Bacterial small subunit ribosomal RNA", at positions 8 to 524 of the family's 1533-position model. Lineage: Bacteria; Pseudomonadati; Pseudomonadota; Alphaproteobacteria. The record is from RNAcentral.